UCUCCCACUUCAUGACCCUGG
RNAcentral lists this unclassified non-coding RNA (21 nucleotides) under Mus musculus (house mouse). Its description in RNAcentral is "oocyte_clustered_small_RNA7252". The record is from RNAcentral. Lineage: Eukaryota; Metazoa; Chordata; Mammalia; Rodentia; Muridae.